GCGGGGGUUGUAGAGCCUGGCCAAAUAAAUAAGAUUUGGAAACGCGGGACUUAAGAUCCCGUCCUUUAGAGGUUCGUGGGUUCGAAUCCCACCCCCCGCA
This 100-nucleotide transfer RNA is filed under the name Nitrososphaeraceae archaeon. RNAcentral describes it as "tRNA-Leu". It matches the Rfam family "tRNA". Rfam says of the family: Transfer RNA (tRNA) molecules are approximately 80 nucleotides in length. Their secondary structure includes four short double-helical elements and three loops (D, anti-codon, and T loops). Further hydrogen bonds mediate the characteristic L-shaped molecular structure. tRNAs have two regions of fundamental functional importance: the anti-codon, which is responsible for specific mRNA codon recognition, and the 3' end, to which the tRNAs corresponding amino acid is attached (by aminoacyl-tRNA synthetases). tRNAs cope with the degeneracy of the genetic code in two manners: having more than one tRNA (with a specific anti-codon) for a particular amino acid; and 'wobble' base-pairing, i.e. permitting non-standard base-pairing at the 3rd anti-codon position. The record is from RNAcentral. Lineage: Archaea; Thermoproteati; Nitrososphaerota; Nitrososphaeria; Nitrososphaerales; Nitrososphaeraceae.